This 365-nucleotide ribosomal RNA is filed under the name uncultured eukaryote. Its description in RNAcentral is "partial 18S ribosomal RNA". It matches the Rfam family "Eukaryotic small subunit ribosomal RNA", at positions 592 to 975 of the family's 1831-position model. The record is from RNAcentral.
CAAUAGCGUAUAUUAAAGUUGUUGCAGUUAAAAAGCUCGUAGUUGAAUUUCUGGCGGGCGCGCCGGUCUUCCAAGUGUUGUACUGGGCGCAGUCCGCCAUCCUUGUGGAGAGGGCUCGCAUUGAGUUGCGUGUCGGAUCUGCAUCAUUUACUGUGAAAAAAUUAGAGUGUUUAAAGCAGGCUGUCGCUUGAAUACAUUAGCAUGGAAUAAUAAGAUAGGACUUCGGUCUAUUUUGUUGGUUGCGAACCGAGGUAAAGAUUAAUAGGGAUAGUUGGGGGUAUUCAUAUUUAAUUGUCAGAGGUGAAAUUCUUGGAUUUAUGAAAGAUGAACAACUGCGAANGNAUUUACNAAGGAUGUUUNCAUUA